Molecule: ribosomal RNA, 472 nt
Filed under: Veillonella parvula
Lineage: Bacteria; Bacillati; Bacillota; Negativicutes; Veillonellales; Veillonellaceae
Description: bacterial SSU rRNA
Rfam family: Bacterial small subunit ribosomal RNA
Source: RNAcentral
GACGAACGCUGGCGGCGUGCUUAACACAUGCAAGUCGAACGAAGAGCGAUGGAAGCUUGCUUCUAUCAAUCUUAGUGGCGAACAGGUGAGUAACGCGUAAUCAACCUGCCCUUCAGAGGGGGACAACAGUUGGAAACGACUGCUAAUACCGCAUACGAUCUGACCUCGGCAUCGAGGAUAGAUGAAAGGUGGCCUCUACAUGUAAGCUAUCACUGAAGGAGGGGAUUGCGUCUGAUUAGCUAGUUGGAGGGGUAACGGCCCACCAAGGCGAUGAUCAGUAGCCGGUCUGAGAGGAUGAACGGCCACAUUGGGACUGAGACACGGCCCAGACUCCUACGGGAGGCAGCAGUGGGGAAUCUUCCGCAAUGGACGAAAGUCUGACGGAGCAACGCCGCGUGAGUGAUGACGGCCUUCGGGUUGUAAAGCUCUGUUAAUCGGGACGAAAGGCCUUCUUGUGAAUAGUGAGAAGGAU